GUUUAUCAAAAACAUGUCCUUUUGAUUUUGAUUGAAGGUCUGGCCUGCCCAAUGAAGUUUGAAUGGCCGCAGUAUUUUGACUGUGCAAAGGUAGCAUAAUCAUUAGUUUCUUAAUUAGAAGCUGGAAUGAAAGGUUUGAUGAGAAAUUAACUGUCUCAUAAUUAUUAAAGUUGAAUUUUAUUUUUGAGUUAAAAAGCUUAAAUUUUGUAUAGGGACGAGAAGACCCUAUAGAGUUUUAUUAAUUUCUUUUUUAAGUGGAGAAGGUUGGUUUUUAGUUAAAAUUUGAAUUAAUUUUGUUGGGGUGAUAGAAAAAUUUGUUAAACUUUUUUUUUAUUUUUACACUUAUUAGUGAAUUUUUGAUCCUUUAUUUAAGAUUAAAAGAUUAAAUUACCUUAGGGAUAACAGCGUAAUUUCUUUUGAAAGUUCAUAUUUAUAAAGGAGUUUGCGACCUCGAGGUUGGAUUAAAGUUAAUUUUUGGUGUAGAGGCUAAAAUAUUAGGUCUGUUCGACCUUUAAAACUUUACAUGAUCUGAGUUCA
RNAcentral lists this ribosomal RNA (537 nucleotides) under Uloma rufa. RNAcentral describes it as "partial 16S ribosomal RNA". It matches the Rfam family "Bacterial large subunit ribosomal RNA", at positions 1802 to 2613 of the family's 2925-position model. Lineage: Eukaryota; Metazoa; Arthropoda; Insecta; Coleoptera; Tenebrionidae. The record is from RNAcentral.